RNAcentral lists this ribosomal RNA (492 nucleotides) under uncultured bacterium. RNAcentral's name for it is "partial 16S ribosomal RNA". It matches the Rfam family "Bacterial small subunit ribosomal RNA", at positions 29 to 507 of the family's 1533-position model. The record is from RNAcentral.
AGUGAACGCUGGCGGUAGGCCUAACACAUGCAAGUCGAACGGCAGCACAGUAAGAGCUUGCUCUUACGGGUGGCGAGUGGCGGACGGGUGAGGAAUACAUCGGAAUCUACUUUUUCGUGGGGGAUAACGUAGGGAAACUUACGCUAAUACCGCAUACGACCUACGGGUGAAAGCAGGGGAUCUUCGGACCUUGCGCGAUUGAAUGAGCCGAUGUCGGAUUAGCUAGUUGGCGGGGUAAAGGCCCACCAAGGCGACGAUCCGUAGCUGGUCUGAGAGGAUGAUCAGCCCAACUGGAACUGAGAAACGGUCCAGACUCCUACGGGAGGCAGCAGUUGGGAAUAUUUGGCAAUGGGGGCAAGCCUGAUCCAGCCAAACCGCGUGGGUGAAGAAGGCCUUCGGGUUGUAAAGCCCUUUUGUUGGGAAAGAAAAGCAGCAGGUUAAUACCCCGCUGUUCUGACGGUACCCAAAGAAUAAGCACCGGCUAACUUCGUG